GACGAACGCUGGCGGCGUGCUUAACACAUGCAAGUCGAACGGAAAGGCUCCAGCUUGCUGGAGUACUCGAGUGGCGAACGGGUGAGUAACACGUGGGUGAUCUGCCCUGCACUUCGGGAUAAGCCUGGGAAACUGGGUCUAAUACCGGAUAGGACCGCACUUUGGUGUGUGUGGUGGAAAGGUUUUUCUGGUGUGGGAUGAGCUCGCGGCCUAUCAGUUUGUUGGUGGGGUAAUGGCCUACCAAGACGGCGACGGGUAGCCGGCCUGAGAGGGUGGACAGUCACAUUGAGACUGAGAUACGGCCCAGACUCCUACGGGAGGCAGCAGUGGGGAAUAUUGCGCAAUGGGGGAGACCCUGAUGCAGCGACGCCGCGUGGGGGAUGAAGGCCUUCGGGUUGUAAACUCCUUUCGCUAGGGACGAAGCUUUUUGUGACGGUACCUGGAGAAGAAGCACCGGCUAACUACGUG
RNAcentral lists this ribosomal RNA (468 nucleotides) under uncultured bacterium. RNAcentral describes it as "partial 16S ribosomal RNA". It matches the Rfam family "Bacterial small subunit ribosomal RNA", at positions 28 to 507 of the family's 1533-position model. The record is from RNAcentral.